UUUUUAUUGGAUGAUGACAGUCGUAUGUCAUGUUCUGAUUGGAUACCAACUUCAUGAAAGAUGAAAUGUUUUCAUUGACCAAUCAGAACAUGACAUGUGACAAUUAUCAUCC
Non-coding RNA from Glycine soja, 112 nucleotides. The record is from Rfam. Lineage: Eukaryota; Viridiplantae; Streptophyta; Magnoliopsida; Fabales; Fabaceae.